GGGGAAUAUUGGACAAUGGGCGAAAGCCUGAUCCAGCAAUGCCGCGUGAGUGAUGAAGGCCUUAGGGUUGUAAAGCUCUUUUACCCGGGAUGAUAAUGACAGUACCGGGAGAAUAAGCCCCGGCUAACUCUGUGCCAGCAGCCGCGGUAAUACAGAGGGUGCAAGCGUUAAUCGGAAUUACUGGGCGUAAAGGGCGCGUAGGCGGUUCGUUAAGUCCUGUGUGAAAUCCCCCGGCUCAACUGGGGAACUGCACAGGAAACUAGCGGGCUUGAGUUCGGGAGAGGGAAGCGGAAUUCCGGGUGUAGCGGUGAAAUGCGUAGAUAUCCGGAGGAACACCGGUGGCGAAAGCGGCUUCCUGGACCGACACUGACGCUGAGGCGCGAAAGCUAGGGGAGCAAA
RNAcentral lists this ribosomal RNA (399 nucleotides) under uncultured bacterium. RNAcentral's name for it is "bacterial SSU rRNA". It matches the Rfam family "Bacterial small subunit ribosomal RNA", at positions 356 to 772 of the family's 1533-position model. The record is from RNAcentral.